Molecule: unclassified non-coding RNA, 253 nt
Filed under: uncultured Enterobacteriaceae bacterium
Lineage: Bacteria; Pseudomonadati; Pseudomonadota; Gammaproteobacteria; Enterobacterales; Enterobacteriaceae
Description: contains 16S-23S intergenic spacer region
Rfam family: Bacterial small subunit ribosomal RNA
Source: RNAcentral
UACGGAGGGUGCAAUCGGUAAUCGGAAUUACUGGGCGUAAAGCGCACGCAGGCGGUCUGUCAAGUGGGAUGGGAAAUCCCCGGGCUCAACCUGGGAACUGCAGCCGAAACUGGCAGGCUAGAGUGUUGGAGAGGGGGGUAGAAUUCCAGGUGUAGCGGUGAAAUGCGUAGAGAUCUGGAGGAAUACCGGUGGCGAAGGCGGCCCCCUGGACAAAGACUGACGCUCAGGUGCGAAAGCGCGGGGAGCAAACAGG